AACGUAGGAGACAAACGUUAUCCGGAGUUACUGGGCGUAAAGGGCGUGUAGGCGGUUUGUUAAGUCUGGCGUGAAAGCUCUCGGCUAAACCGGGAGAGGUCGUUGGAUACUGGCAAACUAGAGGACGGUAGAGGCGUGUGGAAUUCCGGGUGUAGUGGUGAAAUGCGUAGAUAUCGGAAGGAACACCAGUGGCGAAAGCGGCUUCCUGGUCCAGCACCGACGUUCAGGCACGAAAGCGUGGGGAGCGAACAGG
Molecule: ribosomal RNA, 253 nt
Filed under: uncultured bacterium
Lineage: Bacteria
Description: partial 16S ribosomal RNA
Rfam family: Bacterial small subunit ribosomal RNA
Source: RNAcentral